GAAAUGCGAUACCUAGUGUGAAUUGCAGCCAUCGUGAAUCAUCGAGUUCUUGAACGCACAUUGCGCCCGUCGGCAUUCCGGCGGGCAUGCCUGUCUGAGCGUCGUUUCCUUCUUGCAAGACGAGAGUUGCGCAGAGCUGGCCCGGCCACGGCCCCGCCGAAAAGAAACGAGGCCACGAGCGAACUAGAACAGGACGCUUGGGGUCUCCGAGCACUAUGAGCUCGACCUCAGAUCAGGUAGGAAUACCCGCUGAACUUAA
Molecule: unclassified non-coding RNA, 259 nt
Filed under: uncultured Saccharomycetales
Lineage: Eukaryota; Fungi; Ascomycota; Saccharomycetes
Also listed under: 2 other names
Description: sequence contains ITS1
Rfam family: 5.8S ribosomal RNA (bases 1-104)
Source: RNAcentral